UGUCUUUGCAUACCCUGUUCUGACACUGUCUCUGUCCUGUUUGAUGGCUGUUCCAUAUGAAAUGUUCUACUCCUCUUACCAGCUUCUCUUCUCCAGAGGUCGGUCAUUCAGAAUCCUGAAGCCAUCAUACGACGCAUCAGUUGGUGGUGAUGUCAGGUCCGUCGGGCUUCCACGCCCUAGCUCGAGAGGUUUUCUUGUCCUGGUUUAGCUCGACAGGUCCCCAUCCCACGUCAGGCCACAGCCGGAUCACCAGGGUUUUACACCUCAACCGGCUCACCAGGCGUCUAUGCUUCAGCCAGCACAUCAGGCUCCCACGUUCCAGCGGGAUCAUCAGGCUGUCACGCCUCAGCCGGUUCGCGAGGCCACCACACCCCUGCCAGUUCGUCGGCUGUCACGCCCCAGCCGGCUGGUCCAAUGCCCUGGCCGGUCCGUCACGCCUGCUCCCGCUCCCUGGCGCUCGAAGGCGCCAGGCUCCCCAGCAUUACGCACUCCUGCCACCAUCAGUACGCACACCUUCCUUCCCCCGUCAGGCACAUCAGCGAUUAUUGGACUCACCUGGACUCAAUCACCUGUCAUUACCUCCCCUAUAUCUGUCUGUUCCCUGCUUCAGGAUUAAUGUUCGUUUGUCUUUGCAUUCCAGGUUCUGACGCUGUCUCUGUCCUGUUUGAUGUAUGUUCCAUAUUAAAAUGUUCUAUUCCCCGUACCUGCUUCUCUUCUCCAGCGUCGGUCCUUACAGGCCAGGACUGUUCGAAUCAACCCAAUAUGAUGAACCCUGAAGAUGGGACAAAGUGCAUGGCAAGGUGGCCAAGAGGAAGCCAGCUGUUCUCAACCCCUACAUUGCCACAUUCUAUCAAGAGCUCACAGAGUUUGAAUGAAGACCUCUAGGUUGAGAAGAGCUGACAAAUAAGAACUGAAGAGGAUUGUUAUGGAGACCCAGGAGGAACACUGAAUGCUGUGCUGGCUUCUCUCUCCUGCCCAAACUGUUUGUUUUUCUUUUUUCUUUCACUGCCUCUGAACCCCCUUACCCCGAAUAGUGGCCCAUGAUAUUCUCUCUCUCCCACUCUCUUACUCCCUAUCUCACAUUUAUGUUGUAAUGAUGCUCUUAUUUGGUUACAUAGGCUAUAUAUACACAAAAGUAUGUGGACACACCUUAACAUUAGUGGAUUCGGAUAUUUCAGCCACACCCAAUGCUGAUAGGUUUAUGAAUGACAGUUGAAUGGUGUAACUGAAGAGCUCAGUGACUUUCAACGUCACACAGUCAUAGGAAGCCACCUUUCCAACAAGUUAGUUAGUCCAAUUUCUGACCUGCUA
Oncorhynchus kisutch (coho salmon) is the source of this 1311-nucleotide long non-coding RNA. RefSeq lists it as uncharacterized. The record is from RefSeq and is a predicted model, not a curated record. Lineage: Eukaryota; Metazoa; Chordata; Actinopteri; Salmoniformes; Salmonidae. The transcript is spliced from 3 exons.